UAACGGCGACUGAAGCGGCAACAGCUCAAAUUUGAAAUCUGGUCCCUAGGGCCCGAGUUGUAAUUUGUAGAGGAUGCUUUUGGUGAGGUGCCGCCCGAGUUCCCUGGAAAGGGACGCCACAGAGGGUGAGAGCCCCGUCUGGCUGGCCGCCGAGCCUCUGUAAAGCUCCUUCGACGAGUCGAGUAGUUUGGGAAUGCUGCUCAAAAUGGGAGGUAUAUGUCUUCUAAAGCUAAAUAUUGGCCAGAGACCGAUAGCGCACAAGUAGAUGAUCGAAAGAUGAAUAGCACCUUGAAAAGAGGGUUAAAUAGUACGUGAAAUUGAAGAAUGCCAAGCGCUUGUGACCAGACUUGGGCGCGGCGGAUCAUCCGGGGUUCUCUCCGGUGCACUUCGCCGCGUCUAGGCGAGCAACAGUUCGUCGCGCGGGAAAAUGGCUCCGGGAACGUGGCUCCUCCGGGAGUGUUAUAGCCCGUUGCAUAAUAGCCUGCGGUGGACUGAGGACCGCGCAUCUGCAAGGAUGCUCGCGUAAUGGUCACCAGCGACCCGUCUUGAAACACGGACCAAGGAGUCGUCUUCGUAUGCGACUGUUCGGGUGUCAAUGCCCUACGCGUAAUGAAAGUGAACGCAGGUGAGAGGUUCGGCGCAUCAUCGACCGAUCCUGAUGUUCUGGGAUGGAUUUGAGUAAGAGCAUACGGGGCCGGACCCGAAAGAAGGUGAACUAUGCCUGUAUAGGGUGAAGCCAGAGGAAACUCUGGUGGACGCUCGCCC
This 765-nucleotide ribosomal RNA is filed under the name Trichoderma harzianum. RNAcentral's name for it is "partial large subunit ribosomal RNA". It matches the Rfam family "Eukaryotic large subunit ribosomal RNA", at positions 84 to 880 of the family's 3401-position model. Lineage: Eukaryota; Fungi; Ascomycota; Sordariomycetes; Hypocreales; Hypocreaceae. The record is from RNAcentral.